CUUCUGUUGUGGAAGUCAUUGGAAGAAUAGCCUCCCUGUGGGUAUUGAGUUGGUAUCCAGAAUCAGGGAGGAAACUUCCAUCCUAUGGUCUUCCUGCAGUUAUACCACUGCCAAUCCAGCAAAGUUUAUCUGGAAAAGGUAACACACCACCUGAGAGCUGUCUGACCUGUUCCACUGAGAUGCUCUGAAGUGUGGAACCACCACGGGAUCCAUGCUAUCUAGGAAUGGGAUGAGAAGAUUGAGACCAAGGACCUCAGCAUGGGGUUUCUUGGGGAUUUUCCUUGUAGUGGGUCUUUUAUUUUCCCCCAUCCUGUUAGCAGAUGUAAAAGCCCUUUAUGAAGCUGCAGAAGUUCCACAGACUCAUUGAGGUUUAAGCCUUAUCUCUGAAAUCAAACAGGUCGCCUCUGAAAAUUCAUUAGCAUUAAGAAGGAACUAGAUUCUGCUUAUGAAAAAGUUAUACAACAGACUGAAGGAUUUCCACCCACAGCUACCUUCUAUAAAUCUGAAGUUAUUAAUCAUAGGUAUCAUUUGGGGAAUGAUUCCAGUUAAUAUUCCAUAUUAAAG
Long non-coding RNA from Mauremys reevesii (Reeves's turtle), 564 nucleotides. RefSeq lists it as uncharacterized. The transcript has 4 exons. NCBI's taxonomy places the organism in Eukaryota, Metazoa, Chordata, Testudines, Geoemydidae. The record is from RefSeq and is a predicted model, not a curated record.